GAUGAACGCUGGCGGCGUGCUUAAUACAUGCAAGUCGAACGGACAGGCGCUGCUUUUGCGGCGUGCUCGAGUGGCGAACGGGUGAGUAACACGUGAGUAACCUGUCCUUGUCUUUGGGAUAACUUUUGGAAACUGGGGCUAUUAUAGCAUAGGAGCUCCUGCUGCGUGGUGGGGGUUGGAAAGUUUCGGUGGUUGGGGCUGGACGCGCGGCUUAUCAGCUUGUUGGUGAGGUAGUGGCUUACCAAGGCUUUGACGGGUAGCCGGCCUGAGAGGGGGACCGGCCACAUUGGUACUAAGGUACGGCCCAGACUCGUACGGGAGGCAGCAGUGGAGAGUAUUGCACAAUGGGCGGAAGCCAGAUGCAGCAACGCCGCGUGCGGAAUGACGGCCUUCGGGUUGUAAACCGCUUUCGCCUGUAACGAAGCGUGAGUGACGGUAAUGAGUAAGGAAGCACCGGCUAACUACGUG
RNAcentral lists this ribosomal RNA (468 nucleotides) under uncultured bacterium. Its description in RNAcentral is "partial 16S ribosomal RNA". It matches the Rfam family "Bacterial small subunit ribosomal RNA", at positions 28 to 507 of the family's 1533-position model. The record is from RNAcentral.